GCCGGGAUAGCUCAGUUGGUAGAGCAGAGGACUGAAAAUCCUCGUG
Molecule: transfer RNA, 46 nt
Filed under: Picea abies (Norway spruce)
Lineage: Eukaryota; Viridiplantae; Streptophyta; Pinopsida; Pinales; Pinaceae
Also listed under: 208 other names
Description: partial tRNA-Phe
Rfam family: tRNA
About the family: Transfer RNA (tRNA) molecules are approximately 80 nucleotides in length. Their secondary structure includes four short double-helical elements and three loops (D, anti-codon, and T loops).
Source: RNAcentral